GUCUACUGCCAUAUCUCCCUGAAUGCACCCAAUCUUUCUGAUCUCAGAAGCUAAGCAGGGCCAGGCCUGGUUAGUACUUGGAUGAGAGAAGAUAUAACAUAAGAGUGUCUGGAUAGUCAGUGGCAACAGGGA
This is a ribosomal RNA of Myotis lucifugus (little brown bat), 132 nucleotides long. Lineage: Eukaryota; Metazoa; Chordata; Mammalia; Chiroptera; Vespertilionidae. The record is from Ensembl.